RNAcentral lists this ribosomal RNA (372 nucleotides) under uncultured organism. RNAcentral's name for it is "bacterial SSU rRNA". It matches the Rfam family "Bacterial small subunit ribosomal RNA", at positions 526 to 896 of the family's 1533-position model. The record is from RNAcentral.
CAGAGGUCCCGAGCGUUGUUCGGAUUCACUGGGCGUAAAGGGUGCGUAGGUGGCGAGGUAAGUCGGAUGUGAAAGCUCGGAGCUCAACUCCGAAAUGGCAUUGGAAAUUACCUUGCUCGAGGGUUGGAAGGGGGACUGGAAUGCUUGGUGUAGCAGUGAAAUGCGUAGAUAUCAAGCGGAACACCAGUGGCGAAGGCGAGUCCCUGGACAACUCCUGACACUGAGGCACGAAAGCUAGGGGAGCAAACAGGAUUAGAUACCCUGGUGGUCCUAGCCGUAAACGGUGCACGUUUGCUGUAAAAGGAAUCGACCCCUUUUGUGGCGUAGCCAACGCGUUAAACGUGCCGCCUGGGAAGUACGGUCGCAAGAUUA